Molecule: ribosomal RNA, 244 nt
Filed under: uncultured bacterium
Lineage: Bacteria
Description: partial 16S ribosomal RNA
Rfam family: Bacterial small subunit ribosomal RNA
Source: RNAcentral
GAUCAUGGCUCAGAUUGAACGCUGGCGGCAUGCCUUACACAUGCAAGUCGGAACGGUAACAGGUCUUCGGACGCUGACGAGUGGCGAACGGGUGAGUAAUACAUCGGAACGUGCCCAGUCGUGGGGGAUAACUACUCGGAAAGAGUAGCUAAUACCGCAUACGAUCUGAGGAUGAAAGCGGGGGACCUUUCGGGGCCUUCGGCGCGAUUGGAGCGGCCGAUGGCAGAUUAGGUAGUUGGUGGGA